Molecule: ribosomal RNA, 497 nt
Filed under: uncultured bacterium
Lineage: Bacteria
Description: partial 16S ribosomal RNA
Rfam family: Bacterial small subunit ribosomal RNA
Source: RNAcentral
GACGAACGCUGGCGGCGUGCCUAAUACAUGCAAGUUGAGCGCUGAAGGUUGGUACUUGUACCAACUGGAUGAGCAGCGAACGGGUGAGUAACGCGUGGGGAAUCUGCCUUUGAGCGGGGGACAACAUUUGGAAACGAAUGCUAAUACCGCAUAAAAACUUUAAACGCAAGUUUUAAGUUUGAAAGAUGCAAUUGCAUCACUCAAAGAUGAUCCCGCGUUGUAUUAGCUAGUUGGUGAGGUAAAGGCUCACCAAGGCGAUGAUACAUAGCCGACCUGAGAGGGUGAUCGGCCACAUUGGGACUGAGACACGGCCCAAACUCCUACGGGAGGCAGCAGUAGGGAAUCUUCGGCAAUGGACGAAAGUCUGACCGAGCAACGCCGCGUGAGUGAAGAAGGUUUUCGGAUCGUAAAACUCUGUCGGUAGAGAAGAACGUUGGUGAGAGUGGAAAGCUCAUCAAGUGACGGUAACUACCCAGAAAGGGACGGCUAACUACGUG